GACGAACGCUGGCGGCGUGCUUAACACAUGCAAGUCGAACGGAAAGGCCCUGCUUGCAGGGUACUCGAGUGGCGAACGGGUGAGUAACACGUGGGUGACCUGCCCUUCACUUCGGGAUAAGCCUGGGAAACUGGGUCUAAUACCGGAUAGGAGCCAUUUUUAGUGUGAUGGUUGGAAAGUUUUUUCGGUGUAGGAUGAGCUCGCGGCCUAUCAGCUUGUUGGUGGGGUAAUGGCCUACCAAGGCGGCGACGGGUAGCCGGCCUGAGAGGGUGGACGGACACAUUGGGACUGAGAUACGGCCCAGACUCCUACGGGAGGCAGCAGUGGGGAAUAUUGCACAAUGGGCGCAAGCCUGAUGCAGCGACGCCGCGUGGGGGAUGACGGCCUUCGGGUUGUAAACUCCUUUCGCUAGGGACGAAGCUUUUUGUGACGGUACCUAGAUAAGAAGCACCGGCUAACUACGUG
Molecule: ribosomal RNA, 465 nt
Filed under: uncultured bacterium
Lineage: Bacteria
Description: partial 16S ribosomal RNA
Rfam family: Bacterial small subunit ribosomal RNA
Source: RNAcentral